AUAAAUAAAUUAUUAAGAGCACUUGAUGGAUGCCUUGGCGUUAAGAGGCGAUGAAGGACGUGGCAGGCUGCGAUAAGCUGUGGGGAAUUGUCAACAAAUUUUGAUCCGCAGAUUUCCGAAUGGGGAAACCCAACUAGCUUAGCUAGUUAUUACAUACUAAGUAUGUAAAGCAAACUUGGUGAACUGAAAUAUCUAAGUAGCCAAAGGAAAAGAAAUCAACCGAGAUUCUGUUAGUAGUGACGAGCGAAAGCGGAAAAGGCUAGUGAUUUAAGAAUAAGAAUUAGAAUACUCUGGAAAUAGUAACCAUAGAAGGUGAUAGUCCUGUAUAAGUAGAAAGUUUUUAAAUCCUUGAGUAGAGCGGGGCACGUGAAAUCCUGUUUGAAUAUGGGGGGACCAUCCUCCAAGCCUAAAUACUACUUAACGACCGAUAGUGAACAAGUACCGUGAGGGAAAGGUGAAAAGAACCCCGGGAGGGGAGUGAAAUAGAAUCUGAAAUCAAGUGCUUACAAACAGUUGGAGCUCUAUAUCAAUUUAUUGAUAUUUAGAGUGACAGCGUACCUUUUGCAUAAUGGGUCAGCGAGUUAAUCUAUGAAGCAAGCUUAAGCCGUUAGGUGUAGGCGUAGCGAAAGCAAGUCUGAAUAGGGCGUUUUAGUUUUAUGGAUUAGACCCGAAACCAAGUGAUCUAGUCAUGACCAGAUUGAAGGUGUGGUAAAACACACUGGAGGAUCGAACCAGUUAAUGUUGCAACAUUAUUGGAUGAGUUGUGAUUAGGGGUGAAAGGCCAAUCAAACUUGGAAAUAGCUGGUUCUCCGCGAAAUCUAUUUAGGUAGAGCGUUGUAUGUAUGUUGUUGGGGGUAGAGCACUGGAUAGACUAGGGGGAUUCACCGUCUUACCAAAUCUAACUAAACUCCGAAUACCAACAAUUAAUUAUACAGCAGGCACACUACGGGUGCUAAGUCCGUGGUGGAAAGGGAAACAACCCAGAUCACUAUCUAAGGUCCCAAAAUUACAGCUAAGUGGGGAAGGAAGUAGAAAAACCAUUACAGCUAGGAGGUUGGCUUGGAAGCAGCCAUCCUUUAAAGAAAGCGUAACAGCUCACUUGUCUAAAUAAGUUUUUCUGCGCCGAAAAUGUACCGGGGCUAAAGCUGUAUACCGAAGAUGUGAGUGCUUAUUGAUUUCGAUCAAUAGGCGCGGUAGCGGAGCGUUCCGUAAGUCUAUGAAGGUGGUUUGUGAAAACUGCUGGAGAUAUCGGAAGUGAGAAUGCUGACAUAAGUAGCGUAAAAGAGUGUGAAAAACACUCUCACCAAAAAUCUAAGGGUUCCUACGUUAAGUUAAUCUGCGUAGGGUUAGUCGGUUCCUAAGGCGAGGCCGUAAAGGAGGAGGCGAUGGCAAUUAGGUUAAUAUUCCUAAACCUCUUUAGUG
RNAcentral lists this ribosomal RNA (1422 nucleotides) under Wolbachia pipientis. Its description in RNAcentral is "bacterial LSU rRNA". It matches the Rfam family "Bacterial large subunit ribosomal RNA", at positions 1 to 1454 of the family's 2925-position model. The record is from RNAcentral. Lineage: Bacteria; Pseudomonadati; Pseudomonadota; Alphaproteobacteria; Rickettsiales; Anaplasmataceae.